Herpailurus yagouaroundi (jaguarundi) is the source of this 1092-nucleotide long non-coding RNA. RefSeq lists it as uncharacterized. The record is from RefSeq and is a predicted model, not a curated record. NCBI's taxonomy places the organism in Eukaryota, Metazoa, Chordata, Mammalia, Carnivora, Felidae. The transcript has 3 exons.
GAUCUGGCCUCAUGAACAGCAAAUGAGAUGAUGCCAGUUAAGCGAAGCCAACACAACUUGGGCUCAAGCAGCCAAAGGCCAAAUUGGAGGCUCUAGAUCCUUCCAGCUUCAGGUCGGGCAGGACUGUUCCUGGGAACUAGAAGGAGACCCACUGCAGGUAAAUCAGGUGGUAGCAGCUAUGUGUGGCCUGGAGGUCAAGUCCAGACCGCAGAUUCAGAAGCAGAGGUAAAACUGAAAUGUCACCGGGAAUGUGUUACGUGCCAGGCACUAUGCAAAGCCAGAGGGGAGAACGCAAAGACAUAAGACGUGGUCUUUCCUGGGGAGGUUCCCCAUCUAAUAGGAGAGAGACACAAGUGGAUGGAUGGCCCAGAUGCAGGAUAGUUAGAGGUCCACUCAAGGUCAAGUUCUAUGCUGUGAGACUCCACAGAAACAGUUCCAUCUCCCCCGUGGAGUCUGAACUAGAUUCACUAAAAGGCCAGUUUCAAAGGCCAUCCGAGACCCAGAUGGCGCUUGAACAAAAAUGGUCAGCGGUAACUCAUCAACCUGGAUUCCCGAGGAAGAAGAGUGCCAGCAAGGCCACCAUCUCAGAACUGGCAAACUGCAAGACUGUCCUCUGGUCUAACCACCACCCCUCUUCCGCGUUCCUGCCACACGGGUGCACCCCUACCUACCGGGACAGGAAUCCCACUACGUUCUUUUCCUCUUACUAAAAGGAUAAACUUUAAACUCUUUUGCUUUUUCCGUGUGCUUCGAGAUGAUGUUUGAAAUACAUACAAACCCUUCCCUUCAUCAAAUUUCGCUGAAAUAAUAGAAAGGCACAUAAAAAGAAUAUAUUCAUAUCUGCCCAAGAAAACGAGAAAACAUGGCUCCAGGAGAACAGAGAAAUUUGAAGACUUUCUAGAAGACAAAAAGCAGAUAGAAUCCAAUUUAUGGAGAAAACCAGAGUGGUUAAAUCAGCAUGGAGAAAUUGACUAAGGAGAUGUAAGCUGUUCUCUCCAACAGAAUCUUGGGGAGACUCCCAGUUUAGGGAGCAGGGAGCAGGCCAUGGUGUAGACAUCAGGCAAAGAACUAUUGAAUAAACAGGCAGCAGUC